Molecule: transfer-messenger RNA, 414 nt
Filed under: Candidatus Zambryskibacteria bacterium RIFOXYC1_FULL_39_10
Lineage: Bacteria; Candidatus Zambryskiibacteriota
Also listed under: 2 other names
Rfam family: transfer-messenger RNA
About the family: Bacterial tmRNA, also known as 10Sa RNA or SsrA, is named for its dual tRNA and mRNA-like properties. Its role is to liberate the mRNA from a stalled ribosome.
Source: RNAcentral
GGGGAUGAUCGGCCUAGACAAUAAGAUACAUUUGCAAAAUGCGAGAGAGAGCAAUAGUGACUCUUAAAUCCGCUAUAAAUGAUAACUGCAAACAAAGUUGUCGCAAAAGCAAAAGCCAUUGUUUCUCCAUAUCAUGGAGUCAAUGAUUUUGCUUUCGCUUACGUUAGAGCUUAAUUUUAAGUUCGCCUAAGCGACGUCAAAUUCUCUGAUGUCUCAUAAGAGAAAUUUGGUGUAAUAAACUUGAGACUCUGGAAAAUAGUUGCUUCGCUAUUUUUCUAAAUGUUGAAGCUCGAUGUUUUAAGAUCUUGUUUGUUCCAUACUUAAAACAUUUAAAAAAACUGUAACAAACUAACUCUUGUAGAAAUUUUUCAAAUCUCUUAUUGCACGCGAGUUCGAUUCUCGCCAUCUCCACAA